GGAUCCCAUCAGAACUCCGCAGUCAAGCGUGCUUGGGCGAGAGUAGUACUAGGAUGGGUGACCUCCUGGGAAGUCCUCGUGUUGCACCU
Molecule: ribosomal RNA, 89 nt
Filed under: Gastrolobium formosum
Lineage: Eukaryota; Viridiplantae; Streptophyta; Magnoliopsida; Fabales; Fabaceae
Source: RNAcentral